Molecule: long non-coding RNA, 1768 nt
Organism: Eriocheir sinensis (Chinese mitten crab)
Lineage: Eukaryota; Metazoa; Arthropoda; Malacostraca; Decapoda; Varunidae
Exons: 3
Source: RefSeq, a predicted model, not a curated record
AGUGAGAAAAAUUAUACCUCUUGCAAUACUAAGCUAUGUAACGGAAGGAAUGGAGUUGAUGAUCGGAAAAUGUUAAUAAAUGAAUGACUUAUGUAAUGAGACCAAUAUAUAUAGCAGGGGUGUGGAGUCGGAGUAAAAAUUAACCAACACACACACACACACACACACACAGAGGGGAGGAGAGAGAGGAGGAAUAUGAGGAGAAAGAAGGAAGGAAGGGAGGAAAGGGAAGGAAGGAAAGGAAGAGAGGAAGAGAAAGAGAAGGUUAGUAAGGAGGAAGAGGAGGAAGAGAAGAGAGAGAAGAGAAGAAGAGGAAGAAACCAAUAUAUAUAUAAGCUCACACUCAAAAUAAAGACCUUAGUUAAUACAAUAAUCAAGUAUUCCUUAUAAUUUUCCCUGAAGUAGAAAUUUUAAGGGGGCACCAUUUCAUUUUUUUUCAUUAUUAUUUCAUUAUUUUCCUCUCAUCAUUAAAACACCAACACCAGACACACAGAGCUUAUAUAACAUGAUAAUCUACUUUUCUUCAUAAAUUACCCUGAUUCAGAGUCUAUCACAUACAGGGGUAGCGCAUUCCAAUUAUGUACUAUUCUGUUACAAAAAGAGUUCUUCCUUUUAUCCAACUUUGAUCUUUUCUUCAAUAUUUUCAUAGGAUGUCCUCCAGUUCUGCCAUUUUCCCACAGCACAAAAAUACCUUGGCAUUCAGUUCAAAAUCCAUAUGCCAGUUUCAUUAUUGCACGUGACACGGACGAAUUAGUGAGAAUAAAUGACAACUGUGAGUGUGAUUAUAAAAGAAAUAGUAAUAGUUAUAGAAGGUAUUUAAAAGGAGGACAGUUCAUCGCUCACAAAUAGCUUUCUCUUCACGCGGGAAAUAAUAAAAUAUACCUUAUGCUUCUCUAUGUCAAACUGUUUCCUAAGUUCUGUUAGGUGAGUAUUUAAAAGGACAGUUCAUCACUCACAAAUAACUUUCUCUUCACGCGGGAAAUAAAUAAAUAUACCUUAUGCUUCUCUACGUCAAACUGUUUCCUUAGUUCUGUAAUGUGAGUAUUUAAAAGGACAGUUCAUCACUCACUAAUAACUCUCUUCACGCGGGAAAUAAAUAAAUACCUUAUGCUUCUCUACGGCAAACUGUUUCCUUAGUUCUGUUUGGUGAGUAAACCAGGUGAGUAUUUAAAAGGAGAACAGUUCAUCACUCACAAAUAGCUUUCUCUUCACGCGGGAAAUAAAUAAAUAUACCUUAUGCUUCUCUACGCCAAACUGUUUCAUAAGUUCUUUUAGGUGAGUAUUUAAAAGGAGAACAGUUCAUCGCUCACAAAUAGCUUUCUCUUCACGCGGGAAAUAAAAAAAAUAUACCUUAUGCUUCUCUACGCCAAACUGUUUCCUAAGUUCUUUUAGGUGAGUAAACCAGGUGAGUAUUUAAAAGGACACUUCAUAACUCACUAAUAACUUUCUCUUCACGCGGGAAAUAAAUAAAUAUACCUUAUGCUUCUCUACGUCAAACUGUUUCCUUAGUUCUGUAAUGUGAGUAUUUAAAAGGACAGUUCAUCACUCACUAAUAGCUUUCUCUUCACGCGGGAAAUAAAAAAAUAUACCUUAUGCUUCUCUACGUCAAACUGUUUCCUAAGUUCUGUAAUGUGAGUAUUUAAAAGGACAGUUCAUCACUCACAAAUAACUUUCUCUUCACGCGGGAAAUAAAAAAAUACACCUUAUGCUUCUCUACGCCAAACUGUUUCCUUAUUUCUGUUAUUUCUUCAGCCUUGGGCCAAGAGUG